GUGCUUACUUUGGCAGCACAUAUACUAAAAUUGGAAUGAUAUAAAGAAAAUGAGCAUGGUCCCUGCUCAAAGGCAAUAUGCAAAUUUGUUAAAUGUAUUAUUUAUUU
Small nuclear RNA from Suncus etruscus (white-toothed pygmy shrew), 107 nucleotides. The record is from RefSeq and is a predicted model, not a curated record. NCBI's taxonomy places the organism in Eukaryota, Metazoa, Chordata, Mammalia, Eulipotyphla, Soricidae.